GCAGUCGAGGGGUUUUAUCUUCGGAUAGAGAGACCGGCGCACGGGUGCGUAACGCGUAUGCAAUCUACCUUUUGCAGAGGGAUAGCCCAGAGAAAUUUGGAUUAAUACCUCAUAGUAUAUAGAGUUGGCAUCAACACUAUAUUAAAGUCACAACGGCAAAAGAUGAGCAUGCGUCCCAUUAGCUAGUUGGUAAGGUAACGGCUUACCAAGGCUACGAUGGGUAGGGGUCCUGAGAGGGAGAUCCCCCACACUGGUACUGAGACACGGACCAGACUCCUACGGGAGGCAGCAGUGAGGAAUAUUGGACAAUGGGCGCAAGCCUGAUCCAGCCAUGCCGCGUGCAGGAUGACGGUCCUAUGGAUUGUAAACUGCUUUUGCACAGGAAGAAACAACAUUACGUGUAAUGUCUUGACGGUACUGUGAGAAUAAGGAUCGGCUAACUCCGUGCCAGCAGCCGCGGUAAUACGGAGGAUCCAAGCGUUAUCCGGAAUCAUUGGGUUUAAAGGGUCCGUAGGCGGUUUAGUAAGUCAGUGGUGAAAGCCCAUCGCUCAACGGUGGAACGGCCAUUGAUACUGCUAGACUUGAAUUAUUAGGAAGUAACUAGAAUAUGUAGUGUAGCGGUGAAAUGCUUAGAGAUUACAUGGAAUACCAACUGCGAAGGCAGGUUACUACUAAUGGAUUGACGCUGAUGGACGAAAGCGUGGGUAGCGAACAGGAUUAGAUACCCUGGUAGUCCACGCCGUAAACGAUGGAUACUAGCUGUUGGGAGCGAUCUCAGUGGCUAAGCGAAAGUGAUAAGUAUCCCACCCUGGGAGUACGUUCGCAAGAAUGAAACUCAAAGGAAUUGACGGGGGCCCGCACAAGCGGUGGAGCAUGUGGUUUAAUUCGAUGAUACGCGAGGAACCUUA
This 908-nucleotide ribosomal RNA is filed under the name uncultured bacterium. RNAcentral's name for it is "bacterial SSU rRNA". It matches the Rfam family "Bacterial small subunit ribosomal RNA", at positions 57 to 973 of the family's 1533-position model. The record is from RNAcentral.